Long non-coding RNA from Ictalurus punctatus (channel catfish), 387 nucleotides. The record is from Ensembl. NCBI's taxonomy places the organism in Eukaryota, Metazoa, Chordata, Actinopteri, Siluriformes, Ictaluridae.
GAGCGCGCACACGGAGAGAAUGAGAAUGAGCGCGUGCGACACGCCGCGGGCUGUCAUGAGACUCCGCAUGGAAAUUCACCACAGACUCAACAUGAAGUUUAUUCCGCUGAAGUGAUGAACUGUCCACUGAUGGAGACCCGAGCGCAAAGUCUGUUUGUGCAAUUGAUUGUGGCAAUUUCAGUCCCCAAACCGUCACCGCAACCACAGUCCCAAGACACCGCACCAAAACUGCCCACAUCAAUUGCAGUCCAAUGCCAUCUUCACGGCUUCCAAGUGUGUCCCCAGGCUGUCCAUAUGGGGCCAUCCUCAACAACAGUGAGUGGCCUCCAAGCAACGAGACCUCCAGAAUCAGGGCACCAGGAUGAUUCAGAUCUGUCCAGAGAGGAG